This 297-nucleotide ribosomal RNA is filed under the name uncultured bacterium. RNAcentral's name for it is "partial 16S ribosomal RNA". It matches the Rfam family "Bacterial small subunit ribosomal RNA", at positions 333 to 622 of the family's 1533-position model. The record is from RNAcentral.
AUCCUCCUACGGGACGCAGCAGUGGGGAAUAUUGCGCAAUGGGCGAAAGCCUGACGCAGCGACGCCGCGUGAGGGAUGAAGGUGUUCGGAUCGUAAAUCUCUGUCAGCAGGGAAGAACGGUCACUGUGCUAAUCAGCAGUGAAUUGGCGGUACCUGCAAAGGAAGCACCGGCUAACUCCGUGCCAGCAGCCGCGGUAAUACGGGGGGUGCGUGCGUUAAUCGGAAUUACUGGGCGUAAAGCGCUCGUAGGCGGUAUGUCCAGUCAAGGGGGAAAUCCCCGCGCUCAACGUGGGAAUU